AUGAUAAAUACAAUAAAAAUACACAGUCUUCUUGCCAGAAUGUGUAUUUUUUUAUUUCAUUCUCUCUGUUUUCUGAUGUUAUUUUUUCAUGGCCAUUUACUAAAUAUAUAUACAUUCUUCCUACAUACUUCAGCAUCCUGCUUCAAGACUUCUUGUGGCUUGCCCAGAAUUACAGAACUAAUUAAUAGGCCAGUCCUGAGGGAGAAGACAGAGCUGAAGGUGGCCCAAAGGAUGAGAUCGCCCUGCUGGCCCCGUAAGGGCAGGGCAAUGCUUGGAGAUGCGUGCAGCUCAGGGGAUGGCAAUCUGCUGACCUGGACAGGGACCAAGCGUAUGUGUCCCGGCGCUUCCAGGAUCUCAGCAGAGUGA
Molecule: long non-coding RNA, 366 nt
Filed under: Numida meleagris (helmeted guineafowl)
Lineage: Eukaryota; Metazoa; Chordata; Aves; Galliformes; Numididae
Description: lncRNA (ENSNMEG00000015892.1)
Source: RNAcentral